UGCGUAGGCGGCUUAUUAAGUCAGAUGUGAAAGCCCCGGGCUUAACCUGGGAACUGCAUUUGAUACUGGUAAGCUAGAGUAUGGUAGAGGGGGGUAGAAUUCCUAGUGUAGCGGUGAAAUGCGUAGAUAUUAGGAGGAAUACCAGUGGCGAAGGCGGCCCCCCUGGACCAAUACUGACGCUGAGGUACGAAAGCGUGGGUAGCGAACA
Molecule: ribosomal RNA, 208 nt
Filed under: uncultured bacterium
Lineage: Bacteria
Description: partial 16S ribosomal RNA
Rfam family: Bacterial small subunit ribosomal RNA
Source: RNAcentral